GCACUCGUAGUUCAGCGGUCAGAGCACUGCCCUGUCAAGGCAGAAGUCGCGGGUUCGAAUCCCGUCGGGUGCGC
RNAcentral lists this transfer RNA (74 nucleotides) under Streptomyces phage Muntaha. RNAcentral's name for it is "tRNA-Asp". It matches the Rfam family "tRNA". Rfam says of the family: Transfer RNA (tRNA) molecules are approximately 80 nucleotides in length. Their secondary structure includes four short double-helical elements and three loops (D, anti-codon, and T loops). The record is from RNAcentral. Lineage: Duplodnaviria; Heunggongvirae; Uroviricota; Caudoviricetes; Stanwilliamsviridae.